UAGCUCAGUUGGUAGAACAUGGCGUUUGCAACUCCAGGGUUGUGGGUUCGAUUCCCAC
RNAcentral lists this transfer RNA (58 nucleotides) under Salmo salar (Atlantic salmon). It matches the Rfam family "tRNA", at positions 8 to 63 of the family's 71-position model. Rfam says of the family: Transfer RNA (tRNA) molecules are approximately 80 nucleotides in length. Their secondary structure includes four short double-helical elements and three loops (D, anti-codon, and T loops). Lineage: Eukaryota; Metazoa; Chordata; Actinopteri; Salmoniformes; Salmonidae. RNAcentral also lists the same sequence under 1 other name. The record is from Rfam by way of RNAcentral.